AGGGUGGCUUUGCCUCUGGGAUGGCUGGAGGGUGCGAAUCUGGGCUGCUGUUCACGGGAGUGCCUGGGAGCCCUGCACUGGGUUUGGAUCGUGGGGCAUGGGAUUCCCACCUGCUAGCUGGGUCGGGGCUGCACCUGGUUGUUCAGAAUGUGGGCUCUUUGCUGCGGGAGCAAGCUGGCAUGAUUCGGGCUUUGGGAACAGGCUGGGUGUGCGAACGGUGCCACGUGUUGGCAUGUCCCUCAUGUGCACACAGGCACGCGGUUCUGAGCGGUGAUAGACAGACCAGGUGGGGCCAUGGGACACCCGCCCUGUGGUACCAGCAGGCAUGGGUCCCAGAGGAGAGCGAUGCCUGCAGUGGUGGCUGGAGGGAGGGUGUAGGGGUGAGGCUGGUCCCCAGGUCUGAGGUGCCCUUGCUUCCAGGGUCCUCCAGGACUGGACACGCCUGCUGCACUACAGCCCGCACCCCCUGUAUUGUGUGGCUCUUUGGGGUCCAGCCGGGCCUGGGAGGUUGGAUGUUCCUUGGCAGUGCUGUGGAAUGUCUGUGGGGCUCCAGGGGUGGAGGUGUGCACAGGCCUCCAUUCCCUGGAGCAGCGUGGAUCCCGACAGGCACUCCAUCUCAAGAAGGGGCCGCAGCAUGGCAGCCUAUGCAGGGAGUGGAGAGGAGACGCUGUCCAACUCCGAGGCAGCAUGGUCCUGGGUCAGCAGCCGCUCUCCUUGCUGGGCUCCUGGUCUCUGCACCCGAGCUUCUCUCAGAUCAGCGCCGCCUGCUCAGUGUGCUCAUACAGCUGGGGUCUCCUUUCUCCUGAAGUGCGGACCCCGUUCAUGUUGCCCAGGGCCCCGUGGUCUGCAGCACCGGGUGGCCUUGUUCCUCUUUCUGUGCUGUGCCCCUGGCCUCAUGCCCUACAGCGUUCCGGUCACCGCUCCAUGGGGCACCUGUGUUCUUUCUGUCACUCACUGGAGACUCAGCGGCUGGGUUCUUGCUCUGGUUUUCCUCUGGGGAGGAGGCGGGUGCGGGGCACCUCCAGUUGCUCACCCUGACUGUUUUUUUAAAUCCU
Molecule: long non-coding RNA, 1055 nt
Filed under: Oryctolagus cuniculus (rabbit)
Lineage: Eukaryota; Metazoa; Chordata; Mammalia; Lagomorpha; Leporidae
Description: lncRNA (ENSOCUG00000031436.1)
Source: RNAcentral